GGGUUGGUAAUCCCACAGACGGUGGAGGGACUGAGGGUCAUAUUUAGAUGUGCAGGUCAGAGCUUCAGUGGUGGUGUGUGCAUUUCUAAUGUUGGUUUUCCAGAUGUGGUAGAAUUUUCUGAGUACUUUGAAACUGAAAGCCACAAGACAUUCUGUACAUCACAACAUACUAUAUUUCUUAAUAUUUUUGACUCUUUGUGCUGCACAAGCCUUAGCAUUGUGUAUAAAGAUGCGAAACAGUUUGGCAAGAUUUAUGCCUGCUUGAGAGUUAAGAUCCAAGUCAGCUGUAGGAAUUAUAGAAGAGAAACAAACAAACAAAAAAAGAAAUACAGAGAAAAGGACUGCUUUUGUCUUUGUCCUUUGCAGGAACCUAUGCACUUUCUGCCCUUCUUUCCUGUACCCCUCCCUGGCCCAGGAGGAGUUCACAGCAACAUAUCUGCUGUUGCCCCAAGCAAAUGUACUCUGGCUGCUAAUUUGCAGCUGUGCCUACGUGCCGGAGGCUGUCGAUCCCAGUUUAAUAACCACCUUAGAUAAGACCUUGGAGAAACAGUAUCUGUAACAAGAGAGGGAAGUAGCUGAGAAGAGGUAAGGAUGGAGAAUACCACUUCUCUUACACUUUCAAAAUAAUGUGCAGAAGGCUUGAAUCCACUAUACUAACCACUCUCCACACAAGCACUUUCUCAGUGUUAAAAGGAGACAAAAAUGAGUUCUAAUAACUGCAGGUCUUUAAAAAGAGCAAGAGAGGGUCUAUCAAGUAAGUUCUUGAAUUCUUAAGAAAAGUUUUGUUCUUUCCCUUCUAGCCAGCAUGCAAGCUACAUGCUUCCUUUCAGGACAAAAAAGUACUUACCCUUUUUGUGUAUGACUAAGCACAGGGCUGUUUUAUGCACUGGAAAGUUCUUGCAGAAGUUAAUGUGCAUGCUGUCUGGAGUGCAGUGUUUACACUUGGGAGGAAUAUAAACGGUGCUUUGGUUUCUACAUAUUUCAUGAUCGAAGUGCAUCAUCUGAGCUGAGAGCUAGCAAGCUGCAGCAACAAAGGCUUGCUUUGCUGGAUGAUUUAACUAGAUGAAUUUAAAAGUGGUGCUCCCUGUUAUGCCACCCCCAU
This 1102-nucleotide long non-coding RNA is filed under the name Numida meleagris (helmeted guineafowl). RNAcentral's name for it is "lncRNA (ENSNMEG00000013835.1)". The record is from RNAcentral. Lineage: Eukaryota; Metazoa; Chordata; Aves; Galliformes; Numididae.